UCCGGUUGAUCCUGCCAGAGGUUACUGCUAUCGAGGUUCGACUAAGCCAUGCGAGUCGAAUGUAGCAAUACAUGGCGUACUGCUCAGUAACACGUGGACAACCUGCCCUUAGGUUGGGUAUAAACCCGGGAAACUGGGUAUAAUCCCCUAUAAGUCUCGGCUGCUGGAAUGCACCGAGAUUAAAAGCUCCGGCGCCUAAGGAUGGGUCUGCGGCCUAUCAGGUAGUAGUGGGUGUAGCGUACCUACUAGCCUACGACGGGUACGGGUUGUGAGAGCAAGAGCCCGGAGAUGGAUUCUGAGACACGAAUCCAGGCCCUACGGGGUGCAGCAGGCGCGAAAACUUUACAAUGCUGGCAACAGCGAUAAGGGAACCUCGAGUGCCAGGUUACAAAUCUGGCUGUCGAGAUGCCUAAAAAGCAUUUCAUAGCAAGGGCCGGGCAAGACCGGUGCCAGCCGCCGCGGUAACACCGGCGACUCGAGUGGUAACCGUUAUUAUUGGGUCUAAAGGGUCUGUAGCCGGCCGGAUAAGUCUCUUGAGAAAUCUGGCAGCUUAACUGUCAGGCUUUCAGGAGAUACUGUCUGGCUCGAGGCCGGGAGAGGUGAGAGGUACUUCAGGGGUAGGGGUGAAAUCUUGUAAUCCUUGAAGGACCACCAGUGGCGAAGGCGUCUCAC
This 672-nucleotide ribosomal RNA is filed under the name unidentified archaeon. RNAcentral's name for it is "bacterial SSU rRNA". It matches the Rfam family "Archaeal small subunit ribosomal RNA", at positions 1 to 680 of the family's 1478-position model. The record is from RNAcentral.